RNAcentral lists this ribosomal RNA (247 nucleotides) under Fusarium sp. RNAcentral's name for it is "partial large subunit ribosomal RNA". It matches the Rfam family "Eukaryotic large subunit ribosomal RNA", at positions 398 to 664 of the family's 3401-position model. Lineage: Eukaryota; Fungi; Ascomycota; Sordariomycetes; Hypocreales; Nectriaceae. The record is from RNAcentral.
CGUGAAAUUGUUGAAAGGGAAGCGUUUAUGACCAGACUUGGACUUGGUUAAUCAUCUGGGGUUCUCCCCAGUGCACUUUUCCAGUUCAGGCCAGCAUCAGUUUUCCCCGGGGGAUAAAGGCGGCGGGAAUGUGGCUCUCUUCGGGGAGUGUUAUAGCCCGCCGUGUAAUACCCUGGGGGGGACUGAGGUUCGCGCAUCUGCAAGGAUGCUGGCGUAAUGGUCAUCAACGACCCGUCUUGAAACACGG